RNAcentral lists this ribosomal RNA (914 nucleotides) under uncultured bacterium. Its description in RNAcentral is "bacterial SSU rRNA". It matches the Rfam family "Bacterial small subunit ribosomal RNA", at positions 1 to 900 of the family's 1533-position model. The record is from RNAcentral.
CUUAAAGCCCUUAGAGUUUGAUCCUGGCUCAGGAUGAACGCUAGCUACAGGCUUAACACAUGCAAGUCGAGGGGAAACGAUAGAGAAAGCUUGCUUUUUCUAGGCGUCGACCGGCGCACGGGUGAGUAACGCGUAUCCAACCUGCCCAUCACUUGGGGAUAACCUUGCGAAAGUAAGACUAAUACCCAAUGAUAUCUCUAGAAGACAUCUGAAGGAGAUUAAAGAUUUAUCGGUGAUGGAUGGGGAUGCGUCUGAUUAGCUUGUUGGCGGGGUAACGGCCCACCAAGGCGACGAUCAGUAGGGGUUCUGAGAGGAAGGUCCCCCACAUUGGAACUGAGACACGGUCCAAACUCCUACGGGAGGCAGCAGUGAGGAAUAUUGGUCAAUGGACGAGAGUCUGAACCAGCCAAGUAGCGUGCAGGAUGACGGCCCUAUGGGUUGUAAACUGCUUUUAUAAGGGAAUAAAGUGAGUCUCGUGAGACUUUUUGCAUGUACCUUAUGAAUAAGGACCGGCUAAUUCCGUGCCAGCAGCCGCGGUAAUACGGAAGGUCCGGGCGUUAUCCGGAUUUAUUGGGUUUAAAGGGAGCGUAGGCCGGAGAUUAAGCGUGUUGUGAAAUGUAGACGCUCAACGUCUGCACUGCAGCGCGAACUGGUUUCCUUGAGUACGCACAAAGUGGGCGGAAUUCGUGGUGUAGCGGUGAAAUGCUUAGAUAUCACGAAGAACUCCGAUUGCGAAGGCAGCUCACUGGAGCGCAACUGACGCUGAAGCUCGAAAGUGCGGGUAUCGAACAGGAUUAGAUACCCUGGUAGUCCGCACGGUAAACGAUGGAUGCCCGCUGUUGGUCUGAAUAGGUCAGCGGCCAAGCGAAAGCAUUAAGCAUCCCACCUGGGGAGUACGCCGGCAACGGUGAAAC